CCUACGGGGGGCAGCAGUGGGGAAUAUUGGGCAAUGGGCGCAAGCCUGACCCAGCAACGCCGCGUGAAGGAUGAAGGCUUUCGGGUUGUAAACCUCUUUUCUCAGGGACGAAGAGUGAGACGGUACCUCAGGAAUAAGCCACCGCUAACUACGUGCCAGCAGCCGCGGUAAUACGUAGGUGGCAAGCGUUAUCCGGAUUUAUUGGGUGUAAAGGGCGUGUAGGCGGGAUCGCAAGUCAGAUGUGAAAACUCAGGGCUCAACCCUGAGCCUGCAUUUGAAACUGUGUUUCUUGAGUGCUGGAGAGGCAAUCGGAAUUCCGGGUGUAGCGGUGAAAUGCGUAGAUAUCCGGAGGAACACCAGUGGCGAAGGCGGAUUGCUGGACAGUAACUGACGCUGAGGCGCGAAAGCGUGGGUAGCAAACAGGAUUAGAUACCCUUGUAGUC
Molecule: ribosomal RNA, 443 nt
Filed under: uncultured bacterium
Lineage: Bacteria
Description: partial 16S ribosomal RNA
Rfam family: Bacterial small subunit ribosomal RNA
Source: RNAcentral